CAGGCUUAGGUUGGCGGGUGCUAUACAUGCAAGUCGAGCGAAUGGAUUAAGAGCUUGCUCUUAUGAAGUUAGCGGCGGACGGGUGAGUAACACGUGGGUAACCUGCCCAUAAGACUGGGAUAACUCCGGGAAACCGGGGCUAAUACCGGAUAACAUUUUGAACCGCAUGGUUCGAAAUUGAAAGGCGGCUUCGGCUGUCACUUAUGGAUGGACCCGCGUCGCAUUAGCUAGUUGGUGAGGUAACGGCUCACCAAGGCAACGAUGCGUAGCCGACCUGAGAGGGUGAUCGGCCACACUGGGACUGAGACACGGCCCAGACUCCUACGGGAGGCAGCAGUAGGGAAUCUUCCGCAAUGGACGAAAGUCUGACGGAGCAACGCCGCGUGAGUGAUGAAGGCUUUCGGGUCGUAAAACUCUGUUGUUAGGGAAGAACAAGUGCUAGUUGAAUAAGCUGGCACCUUGACGGUACCUAACCAGAAAGCCACGGCUAACUACGUGCCAGCAGCCGCGGUAAUACGUAGGUGGCAAGCGUUAUCCGGAAUUAUUGGGCGUAAAGCGCGCGCAGGUGGUUUCUUAAGUCUGAUGUGAAAGCCCACGGCUCAACCGUGGAGGGUCAUUGGAAACUGGGAGACUUGAGUGCAGAAGAGGAAAGUGGAAUUCCAUGUGUAGCGGUGAAAUGCGUAGAGAUAUGGAGGAACACCCAGUGGCGAAGGCGACUUUCUGGUCUGUAACUGACACUGAGGCGCGAAAGCGUGGGGGAGCAAAACAGGAUUAGAUACCCCUGGGUAGUCCACGCCGUAAACGAUGAGUCUUCUGCACUCAAGUCUCCCAGUUUCCAAUGACCCUCCACGGUUGAGCCGUGGGCUUUCACAUCAGACUUAAGAAACCACCUGCGCGCGCUUUACGCCCAAUAAUUCCGGAUAACGCUUGCCACCUACGUAUUACCGCGGCUGCUGGCACGUAGUUAGCCGUGGCUUUCUGGUUAGGUACCGUCAAGGUGCCAGCUUAUUCAACUAGCACUUGUUCUUCCCUAACAACAGAGUUUUACGACCCGAAAGCCUUCAUCACUCACGCGGCGUUGCUCCGUCAGACUUUCGUCCAUUGCGGAAGAUUCCCUACUGCUGCCUCCCGUAGGAGUCUGGGCCGUGUCUCAGUCCCAGUGUGGCCGAUCACCCUCUCAGGUCGGCUACGCAUCGUUGCCUUGGUGAGCCGUUACCUCACCAACUAGCUAAUGCGACGCGGGUCCAUCCAUAAGUGACAGCCGAAGCCGCCUUUCAAUUUCGAACCAUGCGGUUCAAAAUGUUAUCCGGUAUUAGCCCCGGUUUCCCGGAGUUAUCCCAGUCUUAUGGGCAGGUUACCCACGUGUUACUCACCCGUCCGCCGCUAACUUCAUAAGAGCAAGCUCUUAAUCCAUCGCUCGACUGCAGAAGUGUUAAUGU
This 1439-nucleotide ribosomal RNA is filed under the name Bacillus cereus. Its description in RNAcentral is "16S ribosomal RNA". The stretch from base 1 to 850 matches the Rfam family "Bacterial small subunit ribosomal RNA". Lineage: Bacteria; Bacillati; Bacillota; Bacilli; Caryophanales; Bacillaceae. The record is from RNAcentral.